This is a long non-coding RNA of Pangasianodon hypophthalmus (striped catfish), 2353 nucleotides long. RefSeq lists it as uncharacterized. The record is from RefSeq and is a predicted model, not a curated record. The transcript is spliced from 3 exons. Lineage: Eukaryota; Metazoa; Chordata; Actinopteri; Siluriformes; Pangasiidae.
CAGCAUUUGGCAGAUGCCCUUAUCCAGAGGAACUUACAUUUAUCUAUCUAUCUAUAUGGCUUAAACAUGAUAAAAUGUAAAUAAAUAGAACCGUUAAUGCAAUACAUUUCUACAUAUUACGCUUCUUGAUAUGAUAUUCCUCUUACCGAUGGAGAGGCCCCGAUGGUUUAUAAAGAUGGAAUCAUACAACCUGUCACAUAACUGUCAAACUGCACAAAAUUCCUCCUCUUUGUAACAAAAAAAAAAAAUUUUCUCCACCGAGUGAUGGCUUUAAAAGUGAAUAGUGUAAGGAAAGAAACAGACAAACACACACUAACGAACCAUGUUUGCUGCUAAUCUAGUUGAUGGGGUGCCCCUGGGGGCGGGACGUGUGUGUUUAGAGAGUAUUUCAUUGGACAAACACAAAACAAGUACAAGAUGAGUCAUGGAAAAAAAAUAAUGGUUUGCUAGAAGUGUCAUAGUAUAAAAUGAAAACGAGAAUAUCUCCAAAACCUGUCAUUUUUUCUGUAUAUUCUGUUGUAUUAGUGUCCAUAAAGCUAAGACACACGUAUUAAAAGCUCUAAAACAUCUAUUUUAAUUUCAGGAGUAUUUAAAUAGUUAGAGAUGUGCGCGAGCUGGAGCGCAGUGAAGCGAUAAAUCACAGCGCGCAGCACACACACUGAGAUGUUAGCAUGUUUAUUAGCCACUGAGCUCUCAUGCUACAUUUACAGCGUAAAAGUUCCAGCCAGCUAACGUUCCCUUACAUUACACAUUCGCUUAGCUGCUAAUGAACUCGCCUGUUGUUUACAGCGCUAUAGUAAAUACAUAUUCAUUUAUAAACAUUACUCCUCUCAGGGCUGUCAUGAAGCAACACAGCUAGCGACUGUUAGCCGACAUGCUAAGCAAACAGCCGAACUCGCUAAUGUUAGCUUCCUGCUUCUACGCGAGCGGAGUUUAUCCCUAAUGAGCAAGACAGAGGCGACGGUGGCAAGGAAAAUCUCCCCGAGACAAUAUGAGGAAGAAACCUUGAGAGGAACCAAGACUGAAAAGGAACCCAUCCUCACCUGGGUUUACACCGGAUCAUACAUAAUUCCCUUCUAUAACCGAUAUUAGUCCAUAAAGACAUGGUUUGACGAGAUUGGUGUGGAGGAACUCCAGUGUCCUGCACAGAUCCCUGACCUCAACUCCACUAAACACCUUUGAAGUUAAUUGGAACAUCGAUUUCAUGCCAGGCCUUCUCGUUCCAACAUCAGCGCUUGACUUCACUAAUGCUCUUUUGACUGAAUGGGCACAAAUUCCCACAGACCCAUUCUAAAUUCUUGUAGAAAGCCAUAGAGUGGAGGGUGUUAUAACUGAAAAGAGGGGCCAACAACAUAUGAACAGCCAUGGUUAUGGAAUGUCUAACAAGUUCUUAUAGGUGUGGUGGUCAGAUGUUCACAUACUUUUGGCCAUAUAGUGUAAGUUAAAUCCCUGUCAUCCAUCACUGUGAAGGUAAAACCAGAAAGUUUUUAAACACAAAUGAUACUGACCUGCACAAGUGAGGUAAUAUAUACACUGAUCAGCCAUAAAAUUAAAAGCAUUGACAGGUGACGUGAAUAACAUUGAUUAUCUUGUUACAAUGGACCCUGUCAGGGGGUGGGAUAUAUUAGGCAGCAAGUGAACAGUCAGUUCUCGAAGUUGAUAUGUUGGAAGCAGGAAAAAUGGGCAAGCGUAAGGAUCUGAGCGACUCUGACAAGGGCCAAAUUGUGAAGGCCAAACGACUGGGUCAGAGCAUCUCCAAAACAGCAGGUCUUGUGGGGUGUUCCUGCUAUGCAGUAGUUCGUACCUAACAAAAGUGGUCCAAGGAAGGACAACGCGAAGACUAGCCCGUCUGGUCCAAUCCCACAGAAGAGCUACUGUAGCACAAAUUGCUGAAAAGGUUAAUGCUGCGUAGCUGCAGACUGGUCAGACAGCCCAUGCUGACCCCUGUCCACUGCUGAAAGUGUCUACAAUAGGCAUGUGAGCAUCAGAACUGGACCACAGAGCAAUGGAAGAAGGUGGCCUGGUCUGAUGAAUCAUGUUUUAUUUUAAAUCACGCGGAUGUCCGGGUGCGUGUGCAUCACUUACCUGGGGAAGAGGUGGCACCAGGAUGCACUAUAUGGAGAAGGCAAGCCGGCAUUCAUGAGGAUGUUACUUUGACAUGUACCACCUACUGAAACAUUGUUGGAGACGAAGACACCCCCUCAUGGCAACGGUAUUCCUUAAUGGAAGUGGCCUCUUUCAGCAGGAUAAUGCACCCUGUCACACUGCAAACAUUGUUCAGGAAUGGUCUGAAGAACAUGACAAAGCAUUCAAGGUGUUGACCUGGCCUCAAGAUCUCAAACCGACUGAGACU